This 285-nucleotide long non-coding RNA is filed under the name Phoenix dactylifera (date palm). RNAcentral's name for it is "long non-coding RNA (PDAC_LNC011340)". The record is from RNAcentral. Lineage: Eukaryota; Viridiplantae; Streptophyta; Magnoliopsida; Arecales; Arecaceae.
AUAUUUUGUAUUCCCCAAGUCACAUUCAGACUUUCUUGUAGUUCCCAAAGUCACUAUAAUUACUUUGGGAUCUUUUUCCUAAGUUCUGGUUACUUUUCUAGGAGUAGGUAUAGCAUGCAUUUUUCCAAGCCUUGGUAAACGCAGUCUUGGUAAAUGCAUGACAAGUAGUGCUAUGUAAUUUCCUAGGAGUUGCUUCUCUUUGAAGCCAUUUCAGCCUUAAAAUAGCACCUGAUUGUACUUGAGAGGAGGAGGACGCAUGAAUGAAAUUUGAGAGUUUCUCUUAUG